Molecule: ribosomal RNA, 497 nt
Filed under: uncultured bacterium
Lineage: Bacteria
Description: partial 16S ribosomal RNA
Rfam family: Bacterial small subunit ribosomal RNA
Source: RNAcentral
GAUGAACGCUGGCGGCGUGCCUAAUACAUGCAAGUCGAGCGAACAGACGAGGAGCUUGCUCCUCUGACGUUAGCGGCGGACGGGUGAGUAACACGUGGAUAACCUACCUAUAAGACUGGGAUAACUUCGGGAAACCGGAGCUAAUACCGGAUAAUAUAUUGAACCGCAUGGUUCAAUAGUGAAAGACGGUUUUGCUGUCACUUAUAGAUUGAUCCGCGCCGCAUUAGCUAGUUGGUAAGGUAACGGCUUACCAAGGCAACGAUGCGUAGCCGACCUGAGAGGGUAAUCGGCCAAACUGGAACUGGGACACGGUCCAGAAUCCUACGGGAGGCAGCAGUAGGGAAUCUUCCGGAAUGGGCGAAAGCCUGAAGGAGCAACGCCGCGUGAGUGAUGAAGGUCUUCGGGUCGUAAAACUCUGUUAUUAGGGAAGAACAAAUGUGUAAGUAACUAUGCACGUCUUGACGGUACCUAAUCAGAAAGCCACGGCUAAAUACGUG